AGGAGUAACAACCGCAGUGGAGGCGGCCAGCUCUGCUGUCCUGGAAUCAGCUCCCACAGUAGCUAAGGAGCUCUCAGUCUUCAGGGGCCUGGAUGCUCCGGGGGCGG
This 107-nucleotide microRNA precursor is filed under the name Canis lupus familiaris (dog). RNAcentral's name for it is "mir-8834 microRNA precursor family". It matches the Rfam family "mir-8834 microRNA precursor family". Lineage: Eukaryota; Metazoa; Chordata; Mammalia; Carnivora; Canidae. The record is from Rfam by way of RNAcentral. RNAcentral also lists the same sequence under 1 other name.